This is a small nucleolar RNA of Sorex fumeus (smoky shrew), 130 nucleotides long. RefSeq annotates it as small nucleolar RNA SNORA9. The transcript has a single exon. The record is from RefSeq and is a predicted model, not a curated record. Lineage: Eukaryota; Metazoa; Chordata; Mammalia; Eulipotyphla; Soricidae.
GUGCAAGCCUCCAGUGUGCUUGGGUCCGAAGUGACCCUGUGCAUUCCCGCAGUGCUGGUGAGAACAAGAUGAAACAGUUUGAGGCCUCGCCCUGCUCCAUCCAGAGCAAGGUUAUAAGUUCCAGACCAUC